Antechinus flavipes (yellow-footed antechinus) is the source of this 2257-nucleotide long non-coding RNA. RefSeq lists it as uncharacterized. The transcript has 5 exons. The record is from RefSeq and is a predicted model, not a curated record. NCBI's taxonomy places the organism in Eukaryota, Metazoa, Chordata, Mammalia, Dasyuromorphia, Dasyuridae.
AGGAAGGAAGGAAGGAAGGAAGGAAGGAAGGAAGGAAGGAAGGAAGGAAGGAAGGAAGGAAGAAAUGGAAUGGACUUUCCAUAAAGAUAGUUGAGUUGUGCUUCCUUGAAGGUCCUCAGACAAAGCUGAAUGAUCAUUCUCAGAAAUUUUUAUCUGUUUUUCUUUCUGGACUGCAUUGACUUCUCCUGAAUAUUGGAAUGUUUUCUGAGUUAAAAAACAAACCCCAGAAUUUUGAGUCCUCAGAUCUGAGUGGACCGAGCAGACCCCUGACUUAGAUCCUGGGCAUGUAAGGCUUAACUGGGACUAUGAACCAGAUGAGGAAACUGAGGUAAACAGAAAUAAGUAACUCAUCCAGGGUCACACAGCCAGUAAGUGUCUGCAGCCAGUUUUGAACUGAGGAAGAAACAUAGAAUGUCAGAGUUGGAAGGGACCUCAAAAAGGCUUACGGAUCUGGAGCUAGGAAGGACCUCACAGGUCAUUUUGUGCAGCUACUGAAGUCCAGCCUUUUGUUAAGAAGAAAGGAUGUAUAUUUGGAAGAACUGAAGAAAGAAUUUUUAGAUUAUGGGCUGCAAGAGGUAUAAGAGCAACUCUCUGGAGGUAGGUAGCAAAGAACAAAAGCUUUUACUCUGCAAAAGGUCCAAUGGAACAGACACUCAUCAUAAAGUGACACAAAAUCUAAUGUCUCUAAGAAAAACUAUUCAUGUUUCAGUGGCACCUUAUAGUUUAUCCAAUUUCCUUAUACUCCUACAAGUAAGUAGUAAGGCAUAUCUUUCUAUCUCCAUUUUAUAGAUGGGAAAAACUUAGAAGCUAAAUGACUUGCCUGGAGUUACAAAGAUAGUAAUUGGUGGAGCUAGGAUUCAAACUUAGACCUGUUGCAUCAGAUCAAAGCCAGAAUAGAUAAGAGCUGCCCACUCUCAUUAUAGUUAGUAUUCUUUGCUAUCCUAUAAUGUUAUCUCAUUCUUGAAGUAACUAGAUUAUAAUAGGGACUCUUAACCUAGGUUCUCUGAACUAUAUAUACAUAUAAACACCCACAUAUACAUGCAUCUAUAUUUUUCUUUUUCUGAGAAGUCCAUGGGUUUCUUCUGACUUCCAAUGGGACCCAUGACACACAAAAGACUAAAUAACCCAAGAUGACAUACUAUGACAAGGAAGAAUAUGUAAAUGGAACUUAAUGUUAUAAUUUCUGAUGUCAGAAAUAACAAUUUUCAUUUCAGCUUUUGAAAAGGAAGUAUAUUUAAAGAUAAAUGUGAAUUAUGUUUGGUUCUGGAAGUGUAACAUUGAAUCUAACAAAUAUAGUGUUUUAAUAUAUUCUAACUAAUGAGGACAGUCCUAAGCAUGCUAAUAAUAUUUCAAAAUAGUGGAGACAACAUGGCUUAACAGAAAAGACAGCAGAGUAGGAGACCAGAGUCUAAUGCCACACAUAUGACCUUAGGAUAAGUCUUUUCAACUUUGGGAGGCUGCUUGUCAGUAGCUAUAAAAUGACUAUAAAUGUUAGACUAGAUAGUUUCUAAGGAUUUUUUGGGGAGGAGUGUGUAUUUUUAGCUUGUGGAGCAAUUUCAAUUUCAUUAAAAGAUAAAAUACCCUCAAAAUCAUUAUCAUGUCCUGUAGACUUAUGUAAUCAUAGUCAAAGUCCUGUCUUACAAAUCAACUUUCUCUCUCCCUAGCACAAGACAACCUUCACUCUGGUCAGGUUCACCUUUUGAUGUUUUCUCAUCUGAAAUGCUCUUCCUUUCUUUGCAAUAUAUCAAAAUUAAAUUCAUUGUUUAAUAUUAGAGUGAUACUUUUUUGAAUAUAGUUUUUAUUGUUUCCUUGUUUCUACAGCAGUCAUUUCUUGAUAUUCUCUACCUCCUCCACUAAGCCCUCCCUCCCUUGUAACAAGGAAACAUAGUUAUAAGUGACAAACAACCACAUCUGACAGUUUAAAGUCCUUUCAAGCUUCAAGUACAUAACUUUCAAUUAUUUUUCCAUUUCUUCAUAAAUUCAUCUCUGCAUACAAACAAAUAUUUUCAGCCCAGGACAUCAUGAUUCUUAAUUUAUUUGUAUAUGUAUCAUAGCCCAACACAGCUGUUGUUCUUAAUACUUUUUCUAUAAAAACAAUAAUUUUUGUGACUUUUACAUCAAAUGGAUCUAAGCAUUUGUUGAAAAAAAAGUUUACACCCUAUUUAUGUAUUUCUACUAUUUUGAAAUUGUAAAAUAGGAAUAGCGAAGUUGUGUAUUUAAGGAAAUUUAUCUUAAAGUUAAAUGCAAAUGAUCAAUU